UUUGAAAUUUCAUAAUGUUCGAAAUAAAAUUAUGUGUAUAAUGUUACACAGUAUAUCUUCUAUCUACAGAUAUAUUGCUAUAAGCAUGUCGGUGAUGCGAAUGCACGAGAUUUCACCCAUCCAAAAAGCGUCCUAACGCGCACCGAACACGACCGCCGAUAAAAUUUUCCCCAACCAAAAAAGUUUGUUUGAGGGCAAUGCCUUAUUGUAAUUCUUUCGAUGAAUGUGGUACUGUGACCAUCACUGCCGUAAAACUGUUACCAUAUCAAAUUUAAAGCGAGCGACGCCGUGUAUCAAGUCUAGUAUAUCGAAAUUAAAUAUUAGCACUUCAAAAGCACUUGAAAUUAAAUUUAUAUUUUUAUAAAUUAUCUUCUUCUAAUAUAUAAAAUUCUCGUGUCAUGGUGUUAAACAUUGAACUCCUCCGAAACGGCUCGACCGAUUUUAAUAAAAUUUUGUGGGCAUAUCGGGUAGGUCUGAGAAUCGGCCAACAUCUAUUUUUCAUACCCCUAAGUUAUAAGGGGGGGGGGGGUGGAUUAAGCGGGUUAAUAACAUAUAUGGCAAAGAAACGUUUGCGGGGUCAGCUAGUUUCUUGAUAAAAAGUGAAGCUACCAACGCCAUCGAUUCGUAAUGUGGACUCCGAGAAGAACACGCAAAAACUACAUAUAUCUAAUGUCAUUGACAUUUAUAUGUCAUAUUAACAUAUUAAUAAUUUUAUUAAACUUUUAAACUAUUCAUUGAUUCAAAAUAAAAAGUGAUUUAAAUAUAUUUCGGACAUCAAAAGAAUAAUAAUUGAUGUUUCGAUUAUUGGGUGAUGGACGAUGAUAAAAAAAAUCGCUAAAAUAAUAUAAUUUAUGGUAGUUAACUCCUUGAGAUUUAACGAUAUAAAGCUUGUGGAGUGGAAGCAAUAUGGGUACUUAAAUCGCUUGAAACAGUAACGACUAAAAAAAAUAAAAAUAAAUAACGAUUGUGCUUUAGACCACACGACUGAAGUAAAACUUCCUAUUUUUAACUCCAAUCGCCCUCUCCAACUUCCGUUCGCAUCGCCCGAUCUCAUUUUUCGUAACGCCCUCGUCACGCAUUCACCAGCUCACUCCCGAAAUCGAGUGUGUGUGUAAACACCAGUCGUUUCGAAGCUGACACAUUCCCUUUUAUGUUCGUUUUUAUGGAACAAUAAUAGCUUUAAAAGGGCUCGAAAUUGUAUUUACUUUAAGUUAAGACAUCUUUGAAUGAAUGUACGAAUAAUGAAACCCAAUGUUCUUGUGGCCUAGCAUUGUUGGAAAUAUUUGUACCAUGUACGGUACCAUAUUCUACGGUACUUGUACAAUUCUAAAUUGUCAUGGUACUAGUCUAAUUGACUAAAAAAAUGUUACAUACGAUUUGUUUUAAGUUAAAAUCUUAUUAAAAAAAAAACUAUCAUUAAAGACUGGUCGACUUGUUCUAUACUUAUUUUAUUUAAUCAAAAGUAAUAUCUACGGGUUACUACCUAUGUCACCGCGGACACUAAUCGGACUUCAAUAUUACAAGCUUUGAUUCAUCAUCAUCGUCAUCAUCAUCAUCAUCAUCAUCUGUUUCUGUAGUAAAUUGUAAUUAAAAUUGUGUUAUAGUUAAAUCUUUAUUAUUAGUUAUUUUGCUUUCGCUUUUAAUUUCGAUUGAUGGAUAGUGAUAACAGAACCGUAGACGAAACUGAGGUCGACGGUUCUGCCGUUUUUAAAAAUGUUAGUGACCCAGCUAAUCUGAUAUAAUAUGAUAAAAGCGAUAACGAUUUAAAAUGCAGUUUGCAACAUCCCACUGCUGGGCAACGCUUCCUCCAUGUAACAUCUAUGUGUAUACACAUGAAAAAAUUACAAUCGAAUUGAAAAUCUUUUUUUGAAUUCAGUUAAAUCUAUCUUGUGCUUAAAUGACGAUGAGAACAGCUGUUUAGUAGGACUUAUCCCGAUGAGCAAAUCUGGGUAUAAAGUAGGACUUAUCAUAAUGAGCAAGUGUAGUUAUACCCUUACAGUGUAGGUAGUAAUGUGUAGGUAGUCUAUUGGCCUAUUUUUUUUUUUUUUUUUCGUAAAUGACAACUCUAUACAAUGUUGCCAACUUAAAUUUUUAUUUUAUAAGUUACUUUAGAGAUUACUCAUUCAUAUUUUAGUUUGUAAGAAAAAAUAUAUUUUCCUUUAAAAGUAUUAUUAUUUUUUAAAUUUAUAUUUUGCAUUUAGUCGUCUGUUUGUGUAUUGAAUCUGACGGUACUCGAAAAUUGUAUUUUAUUUUUAAUAAUAAACCUUUUUUUAAUAAUUAUGCAAUAAUGAUCAACAGAUUAUAAAUAUUUUAUUAAUGUAAUAUUACCAGUGUAAAUUAUUUGCAUGUAUAUAUUAAAAUAAAUAUAAAAUUAUUCUAUU
This 2381-nucleotide unclassified non-coding RNA is filed under the name Melitaea cinxia (Glanville fritillary). RNAcentral describes it as "misc RNA ENSMCXG00005001468.1". Lineage: Eukaryota; Metazoa; Arthropoda; Insecta; Lepidoptera; Nymphalidae. The record is from RNAcentral.